GAUGAACGCUGGCGGCGUGCCUAAUACAUGCAAGUCGAGCGAACAGACGAGGAGCUUGCUCCUCUGACGUUAGCGGCGGACGGGUGAGUAACACGUGGAUAACCUACCUAUAAGACUGGGAUAACUUCGGGAAACCGGAGCUAAUACCGGAUAAUAUAUUGAACCGCAUGGUUCAAUAGUGAAAGACGGUUUUGCUGUCACUUAUAGAUGGAUCCGCGCCGCAUUAGCUAGUUGGUAAGGUAACGGCUUACCAAGGCAACGAUGCGUAGCCGACCUGAGAGGGUGAUAGGCCACACUGGAACUGAGACACGGUCCAGACUACUACGGGAGGCAGCAGUAGGGAAUCUUCCGCAAUGGGCGAAAGCUUGACGGAGCAACGCCGCGUGAGUGAUGAAGGUCUUCGGAUCGUAAAACUCUGUUAUUAGGGAAGAACAAAUGUGUAAGUAACUAUGCACGUCUUGACGGUACCUAAUCAGAAAGCCACGGCUAACUACGUG
This 497-nucleotide ribosomal RNA is filed under the name uncultured bacterium. Its description in RNAcentral is "partial 16S ribosomal RNA". It matches the Rfam family "Bacterial small subunit ribosomal RNA", at positions 28 to 507 of the family's 1533-position model. The record is from RNAcentral.